CAUGCUGUCACCUCUCACUGUGACCCAGUCCUAGCCAAUGCCACAUAAGAAGGACCAAUGCUAGGGGCUUCUAGGAAUGAUUCCUCACUUCUAGAAAGAAAUUUUUAAAAUGAGGUGGCCUUUCUUCUGCAAGUAGCUAUUGUCCUGCUGCAGUGUGAGUUCUAAAUUUGCUUCAGCAGCCUCCACCCAGCCCAAAGAUAAUAUCAAUACACAGAAGAAGAAGAGUCAGGAGACGAUGAGAGAAGUUCUGGACUCCAAGGAACAACACUCAGAGCUUGCCUUCCCUCAGACUUCUUGUUAUGGAUUAGUCAGAAUAGAUGAAAACUGAUGAGUCAUCCUGAGAGCAUGAACCCCAGUGGAUUGUAGGGGUUGACUACAGUAUUGAGAAAUAUUAAAAUAACAAAAAGUACAGAAGAGGCAGGGAUCUCAAAAAGUGCUCAGUGGAACCACCACUUAUUGUGAGUCAACAUUCAGGACACAGUUGUUUCUUCAGACAGAGUUCACUCUAUGAAAACACUAUGAGCAAGACUUCCUCGCCCCCAUGACCUGGUGUUGUGUCUGAUCACCCCAACAUUCCUGGCUGCCCAAUGUGGGGCAAUGAAGACCCCAGUGAAGGAAUGCUAGAGUGUGUGAAAGUGGAGGACGCAUCGUCAAAGGACACCUGAGGACGUCUCAAAGAAGCUCGGCGGGAGAGCUGAGCGCUCGGAAGAACCAAGAAUCAUCUCUUUUGAAAAAUCGAUUCAUCAAAUGAAUCUUCAGCCAACAACUGUUCAAGAAGGAUGCAAAUAUCACAGUGUUAGAUGAACUUUCUGGUUGACACCUGACAGGAAGAGCCUCUGUAUUGGACCACCAUGUUUGUGCUCACUGUGUAGUAACAAACCAACACACCAAAAUAGCGGGAGUUGCCACUGACAAAGAGUUGAAUGAUCAAAUGACGGCCAAAGGAGGAGGUAGGACGCAACCUCAAAUUCACUGCCCCAAGGAGUUUUAGAAUGGGGUUUUCAAGGGACUUUUGGCAGAUAGAGGGCUGAGGAGUGGGGGGGUUACUGAUUAGUUAGGGUGUGGGGGAUGAAAACAUAAAGAUAUAGUAAGUGCAUUCUAGGAUCAAAUCAGUUCCUUAAAGUGGGUAUUUACACAGGAUGGUAUCAGUGGAUCUGUUGGAAUGCAGGAUCUGGAAAAUAUGGAAAAUUUGAAACUUCUUCACAUUACAGAAGUUAUCUAUAGAAGUUAGGGCCUUGUAAUACAGGCUAUAAGCUAUAAGCAGCUAUAAGAAAGUGGCCUGUGGGGCAUAGCUGGUUAAUGUUUAACUACCCUUCAACUCAAAAGCUUUGAUUUUGCUAAAAACCUAGACAUUCAUUCAGUUUUAUUGAUUUUAUAAGGAUGGUGUCACCUUCAUUAAACACAUUUGUUCUGAGGGACAGUUGGGCCGCAGUGGCCAUUGACUUAUGUGGCCAAAAUGCUUGCAUUGACCAAAAACUUGCUUUCACAUGAAUAAAAAUAUUCCUCCAAAAUAAGCACUUGUUUUGAGAGUCUCUGAAAAACAAUCAUUGUAUAUAAGAAAUAUAUUUUGUGGUUAAUGACAUAAUUUUACUUUACUCAGGGAAGGCUGUUUCUCUCAGUACAUCGUUCAACUUUGGCACCAGCCAACAUUCUCAGGACUCCCAUAAAGCCAACCAACUAAGCAAAAUCCUGAAUAUUGUUCACUAAUCCUGAUUCUGCCUCCUUUCUAGGUGUGAAUUCAAAGGCAGCAUUACUCCCCAUUUUCUUCCCUCUCCUGUGUCUCUCCCCUGAGGCUUCUCUGCAAAACAUCACUGCCCAGCUUAGCAUCUGUCCUGGGCACUGGUAAUAAUGUGGUACCAUUCAUCCUCUCCUAGCAUUUGAUCACUCAUCAGGAGCCCUCAGCCCCAUGGGGAAGAGGACAGAAGAAGAAACCAGUGAGCUCCUGAUUUCUUGCUUCUUUCUGUCAGUGUUUUUUCUAAUAUCUCCAAGUUGCAAGAGAGAAGUAGAAGCUACAUGGCAUUCACCCUAAACCUACUUGCAUGAUGCAUUCUGUUUGUCUUAGAAGGAUCAUUGUACUUUAUCAUAAGAGGAAAAAACAUUCUCCAUUCUAGCAAUUCUCUGGAUGAUUCUGCCUUAAAUAGAGGGAGUUUUACUGUCUAGAUUGAGCUUCUGCUCCUUGGUCCACUCCUCUUGAAACUUUACUGAGGUUGUUUAUUAAAUCUAGGAGUCUUUUUGAGGAACCUUUAGGGUUUUCUAGGUAUAUAAUC
Molecule: long non-coding RNA, 2267 nt
Filed under: Homo sapiens (human)
Lineage: Eukaryota; Metazoa; Chordata; Mammalia; Primates; Hominidae
Description: HSALNT0355985
Source: RNAcentral